CCUACGGGGAGCAGCAGUGAGGAAUAUUGGUCAAUGGACGCAAGUCUGAACCAGCCAUGCCGCGUGCAGGAAGACGGCUCCAUGAGUUGUAAACUGCUUUUGUACGAGGGUAAACGCAGAUACGCGUAUCUGUCUGAAAGUACCGUACGAAUAAGGAUCGGCUAACUCCGUGCCAGCAGCCGCGGUAAUACGGAGGAUUCAAGCGUUAUCCGGAUUUAUUGGGUUUAAAGGGUGCGUAGGCGGUCGGGUAAGUUAGAGGUGAAAUCCCGGGGCUCAACUUCGGAAUUGCCUCUGAUACUGUUGGGCUAGAGAGUGGUUGCGGUAGGCGGAAUGUAUGGUGUAGCGGUGAAAUGCUUAGAGAUCAUACAGAACACCGAUUGCGAAGGCAGCUUACCGGGCUACAUCUGACGUUGAGGCACGAAAGCGUGGGGAGCGAACAGGAUUAGAUACCCUUGUAGUC
RNAcentral lists this ribosomal RNA (460 nucleotides) under uncultured bacterium. Its description in RNAcentral is "partial 16S ribosomal RNA". It matches the Rfam family "Bacterial small subunit ribosomal RNA", at positions 338 to 795 of the family's 1533-position model. The record is from RNAcentral.